CCCGUCCCGUCACCGUGUUGGGGAAUCACAGACACAGACCCCCGUCCCGUCACCGUGUUGGGGAAUCACAGGCACAGACCCCCGUCCCCCACACGGGGAG
Non-coding RNA from Chiloscyllium plagiosum (whitespotted bambooshark), 100 nucleotides. Lineage: Eukaryota; Metazoa; Chordata; Chondrichthyes; Orectolobiformes; Hemiscylliidae. The record is from RefSeq and is a predicted model, not a curated record.